AGGUUAUGGGGCUUGCCCAAGUUCUCCCAAGUCAGGAGCUGCAGAGAGUGACCCGAGGUCCUGUGAGAGUACACCGAGGUUUCCUGCGUACAUACUUCUUGGAUGAAGCCUUUCUGGGACAGAUUUUCCCGUUCAACGUUGUAAAAGCCGCCACUUGCCUAGUCUCUCAACCGCGUUAUUUAAACAUCGGGGUGUGAUUUCAGAGGCUUGAAGCUUGUUUCCCUCUUUCAUCAGAGUGGGACCGGCAGGCCACGUACACUCAGGGCCAGAACUAGGGUGAGGUGACUGAGACUUUGCUCCAAGGCAUCGAAAUUGAGAAAGCGUUCCUGCUCCUUUCUUGAUACAGAAGCAAUUGAGCUUCGUACAAAGCU
Molecule: long non-coding RNA, 371 nt
Filed under: Monodelphis domestica (gray short-tailed opossum)
Lineage: Eukaryota; Metazoa; Chordata; Mammalia; Didelphimorphia; Didelphidae
Description: lncRNA (ENSMODG00000036557.1)
Source: RNAcentral